Long non-coding RNA from Melitaea cinxia (Glanville fritillary), 543 nucleotides. RefSeq lists it as uncharacterized. NCBI's taxonomy places the organism in Eukaryota, Metazoa, Arthropoda, Insecta, Lepidoptera, Nymphalidae. The record is from RefSeq and is a predicted model, not a curated record. The transcript has 2 exons.
AAGUCGGUAAACAGUUCCGCACUGAUGGACUUUGCUUGGAGCGCGAAUCGUCUCGGUGCUAUCAGCGGUGAUCGAUAUCGGCGCAAUAAGUCGAUAAUGAGCUAUUUUGCGACCGAUGGAGCAGUCGUUUGUUUGUUUACUACUGCGAGUUAAUAAUAACUUGAGACCCGUCAAGGUUUCGCGACCCUAGCCGCGUGGACUUCGGAAGUUAAAUCAUGAAACAGUGGUAUUUUAAUUAAUCGCAUCUAAUGACCUGAUGAACAAAAUGCCCUCUGGGCUUUACGUCUCUUCGGGUUAUUUUGUUACGUCUGUUGAAAUGCAUGAAAAAUACAGUCUUUGUGCUUGCACCAGUGAAUACUUCGGCGGCUCCAGGAACAACGAGUGAGCGACUGGCGACCAGAUCGCCCGCGACGCGCGCUUCGUCGCCCGCGCAUCGCUUCCUCAUUAGCCACCAUACUAGGCGCCGCGCUCGCAGGGCUGCGGUCACCCGAGUGUAUUACAUUCAUACCAUACAAAUAAAUAUCAUUUUACAAAAAUCUCUCA